AGCAGUGGCGGCCGAACAGGGAC
Molecule: unclassified non-coding RNA, 23 nt
Filed under: Human immunodeficiency virus 1
Lineage: Riboviria; Pararnavirae; Artverviricota; Revtraviricetes; Ortervirales; Retroviridae
Description: RNA (5'-R(P*AP*GP*UP*GP*GP*CP*GP*GP*CP*CP*GP*AP*AP*CP*AP*GP*GP*GP*AP*C)-3') from Human immunodeficiency virus 1 (PDB 6HAK, chain T)
Source: RNAcentral